Molecule: unclassified non-coding RNA, 178 nt
Filed under: uncultured fungus
Lineage: Eukaryota; Fungi
Description: sequence contains ITS1
Source: RNAcentral
UUAACUAUUAUAUAGUACUCAGACGACACUAACAUUCAGGGUUGGGUUUCCUCUGGCGGGCCCGGGGGUGAGCCCGGAGCCCGCCAAAGCAACAAUGGUUGGAAUAACACAGGGUGGGAGAUCUACCCGUAAGGGCAUGAACUCUGUAAUGAUCCCUCCGCAGGUUCACCUACGGAGA